UUAAAUUGAAGAGUUUGAUCAUGGCUCAGAUUGAACGCUGGCGGCAGGCCUAACACAUGCAAGUCGAACGGUAACAGGAAGCAGCUUGCUGCUUYGCUGACGAGUGGCGGACGGGUGAGUAAUGUCUGGGAAACUGCCUGAUGGAGGGGGAUAACUACUGGAAACGGUGGCUAAUACCGCAUAACGUCGCAAGACCAAAGAGGGGGACCUUCGGGCCUCUUGCCAUCAGAUGUGCCCAGAUGGGAUUAGCUWGUUGGUGAGGUAACGGCUCACCAAGGCGACGAUCCCUAGCUGGUCUGAGAGGAUGACCAGCCACACUGGAACUGAGACACGGUCCAGACUCCUACGGGAGGCAGCAGUGGGGAAUAUUGCACAAUGGGCGCAAGCCUGAUGCAGCCAUGCCGCGUGUAUGAAGAAGGCCUUCGGGUUGUAAAGUACUUUCAGCGGGGAGGAAGGUGUUG
This 461-nucleotide ribosomal RNA is filed under the name Salmonella enterica subsp. enterica serovar Heidelberg. RNAcentral's name for it is "bacterial SSU rRNA". It matches the Rfam family "Bacterial small subunit ribosomal RNA", at positions 1 to 456 of the family's 1533-position model. Lineage: Bacteria; Pseudomonadati; Pseudomonadota; Gammaproteobacteria; Enterobacterales; Enterobacteriaceae. The record is from RNAcentral.